AGGAUGAACGCUGGCGGCGUGCCUAAUACAUGCAAGUCGAGCGGUAAGGCCCCUUCGGGGGUACACGAGCGGCGGACGGCUGAGUAACACGCAGGAACGUACCCCAAACUGAGGGAUAAGCACCAGAAAUGGUGUCUAAUACCGCAUGUGAUCUUCGGAUUAAAGCUUCGGCGGUUUGGGAACGGCCUGCGCAUGAUUAGCUUGUUGGUGAGGUAAAAGCUCACCAAGGCGACGAUCAUUAGCUGGUCUGAGAGGAUGAUCAGCCUCACUGGGACUGAGACACGGCCCAGACUCCUACGGGAGGCAGCAGUGGGGAAUAUUGGACAAUGGGCGCAAGCCUGAUCCAGCCAUGCCGCGUGGAUGAUGAAGGCCCUAGGGUUGUAAAGUCCUUUCGACGGGGAAGAUAAUGACGGUACCCGUAGAAGAAGCCCCGGCUAACUUCGUGCCAGCAGCCGC
RNAcentral lists this ribosomal RNA (456 nucleotides) under uncultured bacterium. RNAcentral describes it as "SSU rRNA". It matches the Rfam family "Bacterial small subunit ribosomal RNA", at positions 26 to 518 of the family's 1533-position model. The record is from RNAcentral.